This 425-nucleotide ribosomal RNA is filed under the name uncultured bacterium. RNAcentral describes it as "partial 16S ribosomal RNA". It matches the Rfam family "Bacterial small subunit ribosomal RNA", at positions 354 to 796 of the family's 1533-position model. The record is from RNAcentral.
GUGGGGAAUCUUGCGCAAUGGGCGAAAGCCUGACGCAGCCAUGCCGCGUGAAUGAUGAAGGUCUUAGGAUUGUAAAAUUCUUUCACCUGGGACGAUAAUGACGGUACCCGGAGAAGAAGCUCCGGCUAACUUCGUGCCAGCAGCCGCGGUAAUACGAAGGGGGCUAGCGUUGCUCGGAAUUACUGGGCGUAAAGGGCGCGUAGGCGGACAGCUUAGUCAGAGGUGAAAGCCCAGGGCUCAACCUUGGAAUUGCCUUUGAUACUGGCUGUCUUGAGUUUGGGAGAGGUGAGUGGAACUCCGAGUGUAGAGGUGAAAUUCGUAGAUAUUCGGAAGAACACCAGUGGCGAAGGCGACUCACUGGCCCAAUACUGACGCUGAGGCGCGAAAGCGUGGGGAGCAAACAGGAUUAGAAACCCCUGUAGUCC